This 481-nucleotide ribosomal RNA is filed under the name uncultured bacterium. Its description in RNAcentral is "bacterial SSU rRNA". It matches the Rfam family "Bacterial small subunit ribosomal RNA", at positions 29 to 488 of the family's 1533-position model. The record is from RNAcentral.
AACGAACGCUAGCGGUGUGGAUUAGGCAUGCAAGUCGUGCGCGAAAGUCUUCGGACAAGUAAAGCGGCGAAAGGGUGAGUAACACGUAAUCAACGUACCCCUUAGAUUGGAAUAACCUCUGGAAACGGUGGGUAAUGCCAAAUGGUCCGCCGGCAGGCAUCUGCUGGACGGUAAACGGCGGCGCUCGACUUCGGUCGGGGCUGUUGCUGAGGGAGCGGGUUGCGGCCUAUCAGCUUGUUGGUGGGGUAACGGCCUACCAAGGCGAUGACGGGUAGCGGGUCUGAGAGGAUGAUCCGUCACACUGGGACUGAGACACUGCCCAGACUCCUACGGGAGGCUGCAGUCGAGAAUCUUCCACAAUGGACGAAAGUCUGAUGGAGCGACACCGCGUGCAGGAUGAAGGCCUUAGGGUUGUAAACUGCUGUCACGCUAUAGGAACCACUGGUAGUGAAUAGCUGCCAGUCUGACCAAAGCGAGAGAG